Molecule: ribosomal RNA, 253 nt
Filed under: uncultured bacterium
Lineage: Bacteria
Description: partial 16S ribosomal RNA
Rfam family: Bacterial small subunit ribosomal RNA
Source: RNAcentral
GACGGAGGCCUCGAGCGUUAGGCGGAAUCACUGGGCUUAAAGCGUGUGUAGGCGGGCCCGUAAGUGUCUUGUGAAAUCCCCCGGCUCAACCGGGGAACGGCUGGGCAUACUGCGGGUCUUGGGCCGACUAGGGGCAGCCGGAACAAGCGGUGGAGCGGUGAAAUGCGUUGAGAUCGGAAGGAACGCCCGUGGCGAAAGCGGGCUCCUGGACCACAACUGACGCUGAGGCGCGAAAGCCAGGGGAGCGAACGGG